CGGAAUCAUACGACGGAUUAUAGGGCGUAAGCGCGCGCAGGUGGUUUCUUAAGUCUGAUGUGAAAGCCCACGGCUCAACCGUGGAGGGUCAUUGGAAACUGGGAGACUUGAGUGCAGAAGAGGAAAGUGGAAUUCCAUGUGUAGCGGUGAAAUGCGUAGAGAUAUGGAGGAACACCAGUGGCGAAGGCGACUUUCUGGUCUGUAACUGACACUGAGGCGCGAAAGCGUGGGGAGCAAACAGGAUUAGAUACCCUGGUAGUCCACGCCGUAAACGAUGAGUGCUAAGUGUUAGAGGGUUUCCGCCCUUUAGUGCUGAAGUUAACGCAUUAAGCACUCCGCCUGGGGAGUACGGCCGCAAGGCUGAAACUCAAAGGAAUUGACGGGGGCCCGCACAAGCGCGGUGGAGCAUGUGGUUUAAUUCGAAGCAACGCGAAGAACCUUACCAGGUCUUGACAUCCUCUGACAACCCUAGAGAUAGGGCUUCUCCUUCGGGAGCAGAGUGACAGGUGGUGCAUGGUUGUCGUCAGCUCGUGUCGUGAGAUGUUGGGUUAAGUCCCGCAACGAGCGCAACCCUUGAUCUUAGUUGCCAUCAUUUAGUUGGGCACUCUAAGGUGACUGCCGGUGACAAACCGGAGGAAGGUGGGGAUGACGUCAAAUCAUCAUGCCCCUUAUGACCUGGGCUACACACGUGCUACAAUGGACGGUACAAAGAGCUGCAAGACCGCGAGGUGGAGCUAAUCUCAUAAAACCGUUCUCAGUUCGGAUUGUAGGCUGCAACUCGCCUACAUGAAGCUGGAAUCGCUAGUAAUCGCGGAUCAG
This 819-nucleotide ribosomal RNA is filed under the name Bacillus cereus. Its description in RNAcentral is "bacterial SSU rRNA". It matches the Rfam family "Bacterial small subunit ribosomal RNA", at positions 533 to 1352 of the family's 1533-position model. The record is from RNAcentral. Lineage: Bacteria; Bacillati; Bacillota; Bacilli; Caryophanales; Bacillaceae.